Molecule: long non-coding RNA, 1428 nt
Organism: Homo sapiens (human)
Lineage: Eukaryota; Metazoa; Chordata; Mammalia; Primates; Hominidae
Source: Ensembl
GUAGGAAUGUGGUUAACGGCCAGAUGUCUGACAGUUCUCCGACUUCUGGGCAUUCCACGUAGGACGCUUUCUCAUGAGUGUCUGAAACCGUCAGUUCACUGCCAGAAAUGGAGAUACAUGUUUCCUGAUAAACUGGCACUUGCCUUUUCAAAGCCACCAUUUCCUCUAUCCUCUGGGCUGUCACAAAUCCUCCUCUGCACCUCAGGAGUGCCCCUUGGAGCCACGUUCACCACUUCUCUGCCCCUGACCCAGGCUGGUUCCCAGGCCUUGGGGUCCUAGCGUGGACCUCCUGGAAGUAAUUAAUGCAGGUGCAGGACCAGAGAGCCCCUUGGUCCCUCCCAACACAUGAAGGAAGUUUCUGUAGUGAGGUCACGAACAGUGUCUGUGUUUCUGCUGUAAAUAGGGCUUUCUUGGUAACACUUAAUUUCCCUUUUUAAAUAUUCCUUUGGAACCACGUUUAGUAAUUUGCUGGUGGAACUUAACAGUGAUAAUUCUUUGAAUCCAUUUUUCUUUUUCGUUUUUUGAGAUGGAGUCUCUCUCUGUAGCCCAGGUUGUAGUGCGGUGACUGAAUCCAGGCUCACUGCAACCUCCGCCUCCCGUGUUCAAGAGAUUCUCCUGCCUCACCCUUCCCAGUAGCUGAAAUUACAGGCACCUGCCACCACACCUGGCUAAUUUUUGUAUUUUUAGUACAGAUGGGGUUUUGCCAUUUUUGCCAGUCUGGUCUCGAACUCCUGACCUCAAGUGAUCCACCCACCUCGGCCUCCCAAAGUGCUGGGAUUACAGGCGUGAGCUACCGCGCCAGGCCUGAAUCCAUGUUAACAUUUAGUUUUCCAGAUUAACUCGAAGUACCCCACGACUAAACGCUAAUGAAACUAGAGGAGGCACAGCUUCAGCUCCGUGCAGGAUGGAUGCACAAGAGCAGAAUCUCCAUGGGACGCCUUUCUGGAGCAUCAGUAUUACUGCAGGAUUUGGAAGAAACAAAUUCAAAUAAUUUCCAAAGUAAGACACUGGAAAUUUAAGAGGAAGCUGGAAACUCAUCUGCCUUUAAUACUUUUUUUUCUCCAAGAAAAAAAAAGAAACUCUAAGGAGAACCUAUUUUUCACUCUUCUAAGUAGUUAAAAUUAGAAAUCACAGCAAGUCAAUAGAAAGCUCUGCCUUGCCAGUCUCCUAAAUCACAAUAUGGCCUUGGUCAAAGCAACCUAUAUGUCAUCAUACAAACUACAGGCUACGAUGAGCACCUCAUUUUCUUUCUGGAAGGCUGACCUUAAAUGUCCUGCACAUUCCUAUAGUGCAUAUUUACCCUUUUCCUAUACUAAGUAAGCCCUAAAUCUUGGCAGUAACAGCCUGGGGAACUACCUGUCUUGCUACCACUCAAGACCAUGCUUCUGUCCACAAAUUCCCCCCAAUAAAUUACCCUUUACUGACAAA